UAUCCCCACAUGAACCCAUGACAAUUGAAGGAUCUCUCCUAUAACCAUUCCUACUGCAGGCUAAAAAGCACCAUUACACUCAAGUCAAAUCCAGUUCAGGGUCCAGCUGCCACUGCGAUUUGUAACUCCCCAUGUGAUCUGUGAUGGAUCUAGGUCCAUUCUGCCAUAAAGGUGCAGAGUGAAAACUAAAUUAAAAAUAAACUGUGAACAUUCCUGCAGCACAGAGUCAGGGCUGACCGCAAACGUUCCCUGGGACAGAAAACACAUCAACUUUGCAUUCUUGCUGCCUUUGCCUUGUGUGAGGAUGACUGGAAAGGUCACGGAUAUAUUAAUGAACUGAAGGAAGUUGGUUUUCUUUUUCUGUGUUCAUGACACAUCCAUCCUUGUUAAACUGGUGAGUUUUAGGGGCAACUGGAAGUUUUUGGACUAAAUAAUGGAAUCCCUCAAAAAAAAGUUUAGGAUUCUUUUUCUGUGGCCAUGCCCUGUAUGUAGCCACUGAUGUGAAUGGAAGUCAGAUCAUAACUGGCAUUUUGUUUGUGCUUGCAUAGGAGAAAGCAACUGGGAAUUAUGUCCGUUGUUUGUAAGCACAAGUUUAACUGGGAUGACACUGAACUACUGAAAGAAUCUGAUUAACAGAUAUAAUACAUCAAUUUCCUGUAGUAAAGGCUAUCAAAGCCGUCAUUCUAAUUUUCUGCUUCUUUCACAGGGAGAGAAUGGUUUGAUUUUUUUAUCAUACCAAAGCUUGUCUUUUUCACUUUAUUUUUAUAAAAGACGUCUCUACAAUUAUUUCAUGGAAUGAUUCGUCUUUUGUCUAUUGUAAGGAAGCAAAAGGAUUUAUUUAGCUAAAUUUGCAUUCCCCUUUAACAUAAUACUGGGGGGCUUUGUGCUACAGUGGAUUAAAGCAGCAUCUGUUCUUCUCUGGAAACCUGGAGUCAAAUCACAGCAGUGCAGUGAAGUUGCCAUCUCUGUCUGUACCCUAAAUGGAACCUAAAUAAAAUUCAAAUGGAUUCCCAGAAGACACAAAAAGGGCAAUGUAAGUAAAAUAUUUUUGAUUAAGAAGUCUUGCUAAAAAAGUCCAUGAUCAGUAACUGUUUUUGCAUAACAGAGAUGCAUGAAUUAAAAAAAAAAAAGUAUUUACAUAACUUUUUACAAAAAAUGGCAGUAUACAAGAUACUAAAAGUGAACUUCCAAACAUUGGGCUGAUUCUGCUCUUGUAACUACACAGCCUUCCGAGGCAACAGAAAUAAAGCAGCAAACUCAGGAAUAUGAAUUUGACUUGUGGCCCAUACCCUGUUUAAAUACAAAUGACAUCUAAACAAAGCAUGGGUCAUAAAAGCAAUACACCAACACACUUUCCCUUUAACUCAUGAUCCACCUCCUCAUAAUUCCAGUUGCUCUGUGGAUGAGGCAGUGUCUGGGUUAGGGGCACAUCCUCACCAAUUUAAUGUAACAAACAGAGCAAUCAGGGCUCCACCUUGGUUACAGUUUCUGAGGUCUCCUGUAGUUCUGUUAUUAAAUAAAUAUGAAAAGAAAUAAUUGAUUGACAGCUGCUGUGAUUAAAAUAUGCCUGAUCAGAAAUUAAUGAUUAAAUUAUCAUUGGGUCCAACAGACAAAGAACCAUGCAAAUGCUGAAGAAGCAAAAAAAUUGCAUCCUGAAAGAUCUUUAUGAAUUAUGGUAAAUCCUUGCAAUGAAAAGGUACAACAAACCAGACUCAGGCUGUGGUGCUUCAUGACUUCUUUAAAAAUUCAAUAUUCAAAAAUACAGUACCUUAAACCCUCCUUUGCACCUCUCAGAGUCCUGCAGGAACUGGAAGGCUCAUUCAGAAAGCAGCUCCUCGCUUCCAGCACUUGCAUCCCAAGGUUUUGCUGGCUUUUGAACACCAGUGGUGUUAAAUACCACAGAACUGCAGUAUGUGAGCAGCUGUUUAAUACCUACAGGUAACAUCCACAAGUGCUGGCAUUCACCAUCAGAGCACUGACUACCUCUAGGCCACCUUUUAUUAUUCAUCUCCUUCUCACUGGUGUUCAGAGCAGGCACAGUUUGCAGGCAUCUUUAGAGCAAUCACCCAAAUACGCUAAUCAGCUACACUAUUAUGAGAUCUGCCUCUUCACAGAGUUGGAGACUUGAAUUGACAUCUUUCAACUACGGGGAAAACAUCAUCAGUGUAAAGGUAAACUCUUGUUUCAAAGAAGUUGUUGCAUCCAAAGUCCUUGCACUGCUCUUAAGGCCCUCAAAGGCAUGAAACAAUCCCAGGUUCCAAGCAAUAGAAAACUAUUCUCUUCAUGAAGACACAGUAAUGGGAGAAACACUUUCUACAGCCAUAUGAACAGAUUCUCUUGAAAGAUUUUUCAUUUUGCAAACAUGAAAUGGUCUCAGGGUGAAAAAACACAUAUAAGGCCAUGAAAUCCUAAGAAAUUACUUUCCAUUUCUCCAGAGGAACACCCUGCAAACCAUUGGUGAAGGCACCUUGUUCAGCAGAGAAGGUCUCCUUGCCCAGCAGGCACUCCUUCGCUCCAGUCCCCGCAACUUUCCAAUACAAGACUAACAGGAACAACAAAUCAGAGUUACUGUUCUACUCGGUAUUUACACUUUUCAGGAGAAAAACUGAAUCCCUGGGUUUCCUUGCCUGAAAGCUGCAAAUUAUUCCAUGAAACUGAACUGCAGGUUGUUUAUUAACUGCACCAGGAUUCCCAGAGGGCUUCUAAAGGGGCAAAGAAACUGAAUGCUUUUCAGAGCAUUCAGUUCACAGAGCACUAUGGCUUUCACUGGUUAGCUCCAAAUCUUGGAUUACAGUAUCCUGGAUGAUAAUGAAUUAUUUCAGAUUAGUAGAAAUAGGAAAAACAAAGGAUGAUAGAUGAUUUCACAUGAGAAAUAUGAACUUCUAUUAUGAGUUUCUAUUUAAUCAGAAGAAAAAAGCCCAGCUGAUUGAGAACAUAGAUUGUUACUUUGUAACAGCACUCUCAAUAUCUUUCAGGAACUAGAAUAAGCCAUCUCAACAGCAAAACCAAAUCUGGUACAAAAGUAGAAGUAAAAUGGAAAGUGGGUCAUUUUAUUCAGCAUGGCCAUAGUUCUCCCAAAGCACUUGAUAGAUGUAAUGAAUUCUGCAUUUAUAUGAAGGAUAUCUGCCACAGGAAUAGACACAGUUAAACACAACUGUCCAAACUAAGUACUCAGCAUUUCCUCUUUUAGCACAUCAGGCAGAAUAAUCAAGUUUAACUGAAAGGAAGUGCAUAGCAAUGUACAAACGGAGGAAAAAAGUCUGAAACAAUGAUGAAUAACAGAAUGUUACUGUGCAAUAGGCAAAUCUGUCACUAAAGUAACUGUUAUGAAUUAUGUUUUUAGCAAGCCAUGCAAAGGUAACAUCACUUAUGCAAACAUUACCAAGUCCACACAGGAAACUUACAUUAUUCUUUUCCUUAAGGGUAAAAAAUGGGCAGAAGGAUCAUUAAACGUGUGACUAAACUGUGCUAUGAAACACUUUAUCAAAAAACAUUUUGCCUUUCUUCUCUAGAAAAGCAACUGUUGCAUUCAUACAUAGUUACACUGAAUCCAGUCACUUCCUCCUUUUAUAUUCCAAACAUGCCCACACCCAAUUUAAGAUGUUUUCUAUCUUUAGCUAAGUUGAAAAAUUUUUAACAGUCAAACAGCUAAGCAUUUGGCUGAAUUACAUGGAAUAAACUUCCAUGAUGCAUUGGAGAUAAAUUCAUCUUGCAAGUGCACUGCAAGUGCAGGAUAACUUUUUUAGUUUACCAUAAAUUCACACACAGCAUCACACCAAAAAACUCGUUUGUGCAUGGAGUUUUCAGAUAGCUCAUGAACAGAGCUCUGUGUUGCUGUACUUUUGACAUACAUUAUUUUGGUUGUUAACAACAUCAUUACAAUAGGGACUGUAUGUUUUAACAUGACAAAUACCACUCACUGUUUCUCCUGCGUCAUUUAUUCAAGUAUCUGUACUUCAAAGACCUUUAAAUUAUACUUUUUUUUCUUUCCUUUUAUUUCCUGGCUGAGGGCACGAGUGGCAAAUGUUGAUUUACCCAUCUGACACGCCUUCUCAUGUAGCCAGGACAAGGCCAGGUCUCCGGCUGGCCCCAGACACCGGGAACAGCCUGUACCAGAGCUCUGCAGUAAAACCUACACUAAUUUGACACAAAUCAUGUGAUUCCUUUCUCCCUCCCGAAAAGCAGUGUUUACACAUCGGUGUUUGGAGCGGCACACGCCAGGUCAGCUCACAGUCUGCUGCCACAGCUCUGGAUUUAUGUCUCUGCCUGUCACCCACAGCCAGCACAGCGCAGCGGGGCGGCUUGGGACGCCGCGGUUAAACCACGGAGAUAAUUUAGCCGUCGGUCCUGCAGGGCAGACAGAGCCUCCGCCUGUCCCCGCUCCCGAUCCGGGACACAGGGAACGAGGUCCCGAUCGCCGCGACCCGGAGAUAUCCCGGGGACAGCGGGGCUGACCCCAGGAAUGUCACUGCAAGGCUUUAACCAGAUGCUAUUUAUGCGGUAAUGCACGCUUUCAACAUCUAAUGGUUAUACCCGCAGAACGUCUGGGAUCCACAACCCCACGUUUUUCUGGUCCUGACUCAAUGCCUCCUGCAUCAAGCUUCAUCUCUCCUUGUAAGCAGAGACAAAGCAGAGACAAAUUCAAAGCAGUUCUCAAAAGUCAACCUCCCAUUCAGAAACCAAUUUCCAUUUAGGAACCAAGUGCAGACAGUUUCAGCAUGGGCUGUGAAGAAGACAUAUUGGAAAAGGUGGCUGGAAAGCUCUGACCUCAAAACCAGACACAGAAUUUUCUGAAGAAUGUGCUUUUCUGAAGCCACUUCAAACACAAUCUUCCUUCUACAGAUACAACCACGCUAGAUCAGCAAAUAACCAAGCAAUACAAACACAUCCCAUUCCAAACACUGUGUGGAUAAUUGCUACAGAUGGCUUUCCCCCCAUCAAUGUCAAGCAUCCAAAAUUCCCAAUUUAGUUUCAGCCAUUCUGGUACAGUUUUUGUUAGAUCACUUCUUGCUUGAAUAAGUCAUUAAAAUUUAAAGUAGAGAUUAAAUGCCCAAAUCAUCUACACAUUUAAGAUCUCACAUGUAUUUCAACAAGGAGAAUUAAACACAGAAAAACAAAGUCUUGCUGCACUAUGCAGACAACAUUGUGGUUUCUGAGUCGAGGCAGCCUGUUGCAGUUAUUUUUGGAGGGAUUUUUUGUGAAUGUUUCAACAUUCCAAAACCAUUUUAAUUCAACCAUAAUCAAUAGUGUACAUUCAAUUUUCCCUCAGGUAACAACAACUGUAAUCCACACUGCACAAUCCACCCUGUCUCAGGUGGUGAUUUAGAACAGACCUCCAGGUCUAUGACUUCUUAGGACAAUUUUUGGUGGCACAUAGCUAAGUUUCUUUGCCGUCCUGAUGGCAGAGGUGCUGAACCUCUGAGAGCUGAUGUUUCAGGCCCCAGAAGACAGGGGCAGGAGAGGCUCUUCUACCAAUGCAGAGCCAAACAUGGGCUUCUAUAGCACUUUAUUACUCUGCACUUUGCAUAGGAAGCUUUGGCAGAAUCAAUAGGAUGUAUAGUCUCUGUUGUCCUCCUGCUGCUAUUUUGACUAACUAGCAAUUUUGCUUUUUUGCUAACUAGCAAUAGUUUCCACUAAGAUAUUGUACAAAUAUGUAGUGCAGUGUAAGAAGGUCAAAAAGUAACUUUUCAUGUCCUACUAUGCUUAUUCCCAGCAAUUUGUUAGAGCACAACAUGAAGUGAUCUUUGCUUCAUUAGAUCAACUUGACUUAAGCCAAAAUGAAGAACCUGUGAAAUCUCUCUGAAGAGCAAGUAAACAAAGAUUCUAAAGCAUGAUUUUACAGUCUCCAGACCAGCCCAGAAGUAUGAGGGAAAUAAUUGUGAAGCAAGUGGGCUGACUGACCACAGGAAGAGCUUAUUGUGACAAGCAGCUCACUCACUGUAGCUGCUGCUUCAUUCACUUUGGACCACUGCAGUUUCCAGCCAGUUGCUCAACAAGCAGCACUCUCAAAUGACAAUAUCUCAGCAGUGAAUGACUCCCUCAGACCAUUCAAUCCUCCCUGCUAAAGCUAACCCUAUUUUAUUUCUAAUACAGAAAUAUAAUUAAACCUUAGAUUAAAUGCAA
Long non-coding RNA from Parus major (Great Tit), 6123 nucleotides. RefSeq lists it as uncharacterized. The record is from RefSeq and is a predicted model, not a curated record. NCBI's taxonomy places the organism in Eukaryota, Metazoa, Chordata, Aves, Passeriformes, Paridae. The transcript is spliced from 2 exons.